GGUUGACCUCGGAUCAGGUAGGGAUACCCGCUGAACUUAAGCAUAUCAAUAAGCGGAGGAAAAGAAACCAACAGGGAUUGCUCUAGUAACGGCGAGUGAAGCAGCAAUAGCUCAAAUUUGAAAUCUGGCGUCUUCGGCGUCCGAGUUGUAAUUUGUAGAGGAUGCUUCUGGGCAGCCACCGACCUAAGUUCCUUGGAACAGGACGUCAUAGAGGGUGAGAAUCCCGUAUGCGGUCGGAAAGGCACCCUACACGUAGCUCCUUCGACGAGUCGAGUUGUUUGGGAAUGCAGCUCUAAAUGGGAGGUAAAUUUCUUCUAAAGCUAAAUAUUGGCCAGAGACCGAUAGCGCACAAGUAGAGUGAUCGAAAGAUGAAAAGCACUUUGGAAAGAGAGUUAAAAAGCACGUGAAAUUGUUGAAAGGGAAGGGAUUGCAACCAGACUUGCUCGCGGUGUUCCGCCGGUCUUCUGACCGGUCUACUCGCCGCGUUGCAGGCCAGCAUCGUCUGGUGCCGCUGGAUAAGACUUGAGGAAUGUAGCUCCCUCGGGAGUGUUAUAGCCUCUUGUGAUGCAGCGAGCGCCGGGCGAGGUCCGCGCUUCGGCUAGGAUGCUGGCGUAAUGGUUGUAAUCCGCCCGUCUUGAAACACGGACCAAGGAGUCUAA
This 659-nucleotide ribosomal RNA is filed under the name uncultured Cladosporium. RNAcentral describes it as "eukaryotic LSU rRNA". It matches the Rfam family "Eukaryotic large subunit ribosomal RNA", at positions 1 to 678 of the family's 3401-position model. The record is from RNAcentral. Lineage: Eukaryota; Fungi; Ascomycota; Dothideomycetes; Cladosporiales; Cladosporiaceae.